UGUUGCGAAAACGUUUGGCAGGACAUUAUAGUAAAUUCGAUGCGUCCGCCAAAACAGCGUUGAAAGCGGAAAUCUUGAGUGUCUUGGC
RNAcentral lists this non-coding RNA (88 nucleotides) under Asterionellopsis glacialis. The record is from RNAcentral. Lineage: Eukaryota; Bacillariophyta; Plagiogrammaphyceae; Rhaphoneidales; Asterionellopsidaceae.